Non-coding RNA from Triticum aestivum (bread wheat), 125 nucleotides. The record is from Rfam. Lineage: Eukaryota; Viridiplantae; Streptophyta; Magnoliopsida; Poales; Poaceae.
CUAGUACUCCCUCCGCCGAGAAAUACUUAUCGGAGAAAUGGAUGUAUCUAGACAUAUUUUAGUUCUAAAUACAUCCAUUUUUAUUUAUUUCUUCGACAAGUAUUUCCGGAUGAAGGGAGUAUUAA